This 690-nucleotide ribosomal RNA is filed under the name Salmonella enterica subsp. enterica serovar Muenchen. RNAcentral's name for it is "bacterial LSU rRNA". It matches the Rfam family "Bacterial large subunit ribosomal RNA", at positions 1 to 722 of the family's 2925-position model. RNAcentral also lists the same sequence under 2 other names. Lineage: Bacteria; Pseudomonadati; Pseudomonadota; Gammaproteobacteria; Enterobacterales; Enterobacteriaceae. The record is from RNAcentral.
GGGUUGUGAGGUUAAGCGACUAAGCGUACACGGUGGAUGCCCUGGCAGUCAGAGGCGAUGAAGGGCGUGCUAAUCUGCGAUAAGCGCCGGUAAGGUGAUAUGAACCGUUAUAACCGGCGAUACCCGAAUGGGGAAACCCAGUGUGAUUCGUCACACUAUCAUUAACUGAAUCCAUAGGUUAAUGAGGCGAACCGGGGGAACUGAAACAUCUAAGUACCCCGAGGAAAAGAAAUCAACCGAGAUUCCCCCAGUAGCGGCGAGCGAACGGGGAGGAGCCCAGAGCCUGAAUCAGCAUGUGUGUUAGUGGAAGCGUCUGGAAAGGCGCGCGAUACAGGGUGACAGCCCCGUACACAAAAGCGCAUGUGCUGUGAGCUCGAUGAGUAGGGCGGGACACGUGGUAUCCUGUCUGAAUAUGGGGGGACCAUCCUCCAAGGCUAAAUACUCCUGACUGACCGAUAGUGAACCAGUACCGUGAGGGAAAGGCGAAAAGAACCCCGGCGAGGGGAGUGAAAAAGAACCUGAAACCGUGUACGUACAAGCAGUGGGAGCACAGGUUUACCUGUGUGACUGCGUACCUUUUGUAUAAUGGGUCAGCGACUUAUAUUCUGUAGCAAGGUUAACCGAAUAGGGGAGCCGCAGGGAAACCGAGUCUUAAUUGGGCGUUAAGUUGCAGGGUAUAGACCCGAAACC